GGGGGUGGUGGGGUGUGGGGGGAUGGGGGGGUGUGGCCCCUCCCUGGGCGCACCCUGUGCCGACUGAGCCAGCACUCCAACGGCUGCUGGUCCCGCGGUUCGAGUCUGUGCUUUACUUCCACUGCCACAGUUCCCAGCUGAAACUUCCAGAGAGAGCCAGGCUGAAAUGGACCUGA
Molecule: long non-coding RNA, 176 nt
Filed under: Chinchilla lanigera (long-tailed chinchilla)
Lineage: Eukaryota; Metazoa; Chordata; Mammalia; Rodentia; Chinchillidae
Description: lncRNA (ENSCLAG00000023951.1)
Source: RNAcentral